AGGCAAGGGGCCCCCGUUCCCGACGACUGAGAUUUGUAUUUAAACAAAAUUAAUUCUUUGAAGACAGUCAUGUUGGGAUCGUCAUCGGGAACGGAAGAAAGACGAACGAGCGUACGAUGUUGACCUUGUGUGCAGUUGUGGCCGGCUUACAUUGGUGUGGGGUAUCUUGCAACAAGAGAUACGCACCGACGUUCAACAUGGCCGCGACAGUGGACGAGGUGGCGGCUCUUCGACGAAAACUAGAGGAAACACUGGCCACUCUCGAGGUUGUGAAAGGCGCCAACGACCAGUUCCGAUAGAAGGAGGAGACCGCUCGCCCAAGAAGAAUAUGGUAUUACAGAGUAUGGUUCCCACGUGGUCGGGAAGUCCGUCAGACGUCUGUAGAAAAAUUCCUCCGAUGUGUGGAUGACGUCGCAAAGAGCGGAAAUUGGGAAGAAAAGGACAGACUUGUAGUCGGUCGGAUCCGACUGAAGGGAGCUUCAGCGGCCGGCGGGAACUGACGGGGCCGGAGUACUUCUAUAAACGAGUUCUGUUGGAACGAUUUAAGGAGGCGUCCAAACCGGAACAAUAUCUGCUGCAGCUGCACUCCCAAAGACGGGAGAGAGGGGAGACGCGCGAGCAUUCGCUUUUUGGUGCAGAAUUCUUGGGGAGAUGACCCUGACUCACAAAGGAUAUCGAACGGAUAUAUAUCAAAUCGAUAGGACUUCUGCCCGAUUUUGGCGUGUGUCGACCCGGGAUUGAGCGGGUCCAGACUUUGCCGACGGAAAUAAGGGGGCAGUAAAGGAGGUACAGGGCCUAGUGCCAAACGGACACACCCUCAAGAUCAUCUUCGACCCGCCCUUACUGGACGGAGGCCGAGAGAUCUACCUCUAGUGGGUUCGAUCCAUCCCAAUAGGCGUUCCAGGGACGGCGCUGCGGAUUGUAGCCCGAUUGGAGGCCGACGACUUGCUGGUCAGCACAGAUAGGGAGUUCUACGCCCUCCUAGCGGACGCGGACGUUCGGUCGUGCCAAAAAGGGGAGAAGUGGAUUUGUCCAGCAUCAUCAGACGUCAAUGAAAUGUACCUUCCUGCGCCAGCGCCCUCUACUACAACGAUGUGGAAGACAGUAAGCGGCUGUGCGAUGAUUGGGCCGUGUUCACCACCCCACACAGGCCGGUCUGGUGGCCGGGACCCUGGAGGACACCUGGACCUACAGCGUCUCCAGCCCCACGCGAAUUUUAAUAUGAUUGUGUAGGUUGAUUUUCAAUACGGUAUUUGAAUAAAAAUUGGUUGAAUGUGAUGA
Long non-coding RNA from Cimex lectularius (bed bug), 1281 nucleotides. RefSeq lists it as uncharacterized. The record is from RefSeq and is a predicted model, not a curated record. Lineage: Eukaryota; Metazoa; Arthropoda; Insecta; Hemiptera; Cimicidae. The transcript is spliced from 2 exons.